Molecule: ribosomal RNA, 417 nt
Filed under: uncultured bacterium
Lineage: Bacteria
Description: bacterial SSU rRNA
Rfam family: Bacterial small subunit ribosomal RNA
Source: RNAcentral
UAUUGGUCAAUGGGCGUAAGCCUGAACCAGCCAAGUCGCGUGAGGGAGGACGGCCCUACGGGUUGUAAACCUCUUUUGCCGGGGGACAAACGGCGGCACGCGUGCCGUCCUGAGGGUACCCGGAGAAAAAGCAUCGGCUAACUCCGUGCCAGCAGCCGCGGUAAUACGGAGGAUGCGAGCGUUAUCCGGAUUUAUUGGGUUUAAAGGGUGCGUAGGCGGGAUGCCAAGUCAGCGGUCAAAUACGGGGGGCUCAACCUGCGUCCGCCGUUGAAACUGGCGUUCUUGAGUGGGCGAGAAGUACGCGGAAUGCGUGGUGUAGCGGUGAAAUGCAUAGAUAUCACGCAGAACUCCGAUUGCGAAGGCAGCAUACCGGCGCCCUACUGACGCUGAGGCACGAAAGCGUGGGUAUCGAACAGG